AGGUGGAGAAACCCCGUGGCAGGCAGCGCCGUCAGCAGCUGGAGCUGGAGGCGCUUCGGGCCCGGCUGGCACAGGCAGAGCAGGACAUGGAAACUGUGCUGUCCUGCGCACGGCAAAGGGAGGAACGGCUCCGGGCCCAAGUGGAGGCGCUGAGGAGCCAGAACCUCUUCCUGGUGCUGGCCCUCAAGG
This is a long non-coding RNA of Alligator mississippiensis (American alligator), 189 nucleotides long. RefSeq lists it as uncharacterized. The record is from RefSeq and is a predicted model, not a curated record. The transcript is spliced from 4 exons. Lineage: Eukaryota; Metazoa; Chordata; Crocodylia; Alligatoridae.